RNAcentral lists this ribosomal RNA (505 nucleotides) under uncultured bacterium. RNAcentral describes it as "partial 16S ribosomal RNA". It matches the Rfam family "Bacterial small subunit ribosomal RNA", at positions 28 to 507 of the family's 1533-position model. The record is from RNAcentral.
GACGAACGCUGGCGGCGUGCCUAAUACAUGCAAGUAGAACGCACAGUUUAUACCGUAGCUUGCUACACCAUAGACUGUGAGUUGCGAACGGGUGAGUAACGCGUAGGUAACCUGCCUGGUAGCGGGGGAUAACUAUUGGAAACGAUAGCUAAUACCGCAUAAUAUUGAUUAUUGCAUGAUAAUUGAUUGAAAGAUGCUAUUGCAUCACUACCAGAUGGACCUUCGUUGUAUUAGCUAGUAGGUGAGGUAACGGCUCACCUAGGCGACGAUACAUAGCCGACCUGAGAGGGUGAUCGGCCACACUGGGACUGAGGCACGGCCCAGACUCCUACGGGAGGCAGCAGUAGGGAAUCUUCGGCAAUGGACGAAAGUCUGACCGAGCAACGCCGCGUGAGUGAAGAAGGUUUUCGGAUCGUAAAGCUCUGUUGUAAGAGAAGAACGGGUGUGAGAGUGGAAAGUUCACACUGUGACGGUAUCUUACCAGAAAGGGACGGCUAACUACGUG